This is a long non-coding RNA of Drosophila elegans, 541 nucleotides long. RefSeq lists it as uncharacterized. The record is from RefSeq and is a predicted model, not a curated record. The transcript is spliced from 4 exons. NCBI's taxonomy places the organism in Eukaryota, Metazoa, Arthropoda, Insecta, Diptera, Drosophilidae.
GACGUCUGGCUACUGUGAAAGCGGUAUACUUCCGGCUUUCCGGUUCCAAUUUUAUUUGCCAGAACGCAAAAUUUAAGAUCGACGCUAGAUAUAUAAUAUGUCUGGUCGAUCCUAGACAAUAUGCCUUCGAUACUCGUGAGAGGGUAGGCGUCCUUUAUGACCACUUCCUGCAUCGCUGGUGAUAGCGGAUAACAACGAUCCUUAAACGGUACUGCGCCCCCCACCAACUGGAUAUAGUGCUGUUCUGCUGCAGUCGUUCCUAGCCCAGCUUCUUCGUCCCAAGUUCUACCUCCGUUUCUUGUCUUCUAUCUUCCGCAUAGUGGCUGAUCUCGGACAUCUUGACUUCAGCUACUUGGGCGUGACUGGAUUCGCUGUUUUCGUCGCCUAGAACUGCUGGAGCCAACUCAAAAAUCUCCAGAUAUCGAUACCCAAGUACAUCGAUUGUUCCAGAUCUGUCUUCGCGACGAACACAUAUCCUUCCAUCUCUACCCCGAGUUCGGCCAUCAGUUCCCUACUGUCUUCGCCCAGUAGACUUACAGAG